UUACAUUGUUGUUUGUGAAGGGGAUGUUAAUCUAUUAACUACUACUUAAUUAUUGAUAUGGUUGACAAAUGAUACAUUAAUGAUAUGAUUGAUUUUUUUUUGUUGAAAUAGACAUAGUUGAUAAUAAAUGUAGAAGGAAACUUAUAAGCUGCACAAGUUGAGGUAUCAAUGUAUAGUCCCUUGACAUUAAGGGCUUAUGGCUGCUAACACCAAAGGGUCAACCCUUCCACUAAGGUCAUUUGUUGAAGAAUGGAUCUUUCAACCUGCCUUCAUGAGGUACUAACUGAUUCGUUCAUCCUCAAUCAGAGGUCUCGGACAAAUAUAGGCUAUUUUACAAAGAGAUAUUUACACAAAUAGCCAACUGGUUUCAUUGUCUGCAUUAUUGAUUAUAUGUUAAAGCACCUCGUAUAAAUUUUAUACGAGGUACUAGUCCUUCCUCCAGCACAACAUAUUCACGAACGAAUCUAUCAACUGAGGUUUUAUUCUGAAAAAUUACAACAAAAAUAUUAACAAAUUCAGUGAAUUCUCACAAGUGGCUCUGGGGAGGAUAGUGUGUACGAAUAUUUUAUCCCUGCAUUAGGAGCAAAGAGAAGUUGUUUCCGAUAGACCAUCGAGGGAGCUAAUAAGAUGUUCAGUUCCCUUAUUUUCAAAUGAUACUGGAUAAAAUUCGAUAUCAAUAGAUACUUUUUCAAAUAUAUUAUUUAUUGUUUUUAUUUAUAGUUUUGUUUGAUUUUAGAUCAUCUUAAGAGAGAAAUGAAAGGAGAUCAACUCUUUUCAGAAAACAGACAACACUACUAAAAACAGGUCAUUUUGUUUUUAUUUACUUCUGAAAAACAAAAAUAUCUAUAGUGCUCUUUCGUUAUCACCAAAGAGCCCCUCCAUUUUUAACAAAAUGACAAACAACAAUACUCUUUCUCUUUGUUUUCUUCUUGACAUGUCUCUUUUCUGUUCUUAUAUACUUUUGAUACACAAGCAAUUAAUGUUACAUAGAAGGACAUCUUUAAUUAAUUUGGGGGACAUAAAUGCAAUUACACUGUUAGAGAUAGAGUAACCUAAUUGAAGGGAACCUUGAAGUAACGAUAACGUUGUCUCCAUGUGACAUAUAGGUCACGAGUUCGAGCAGUAGAAGCAACCAACUUGUAUUAAGUUAGACUGUCUGUAUCAAAGCGACCCCUCCCCAAAUAAAGGUCUCUUUGACCAGCAACUUUUUGAUAAUUAGCAACCAACCCCACCUUCACCCACCCAAACAAGAAAUAAUUAAAAAAAGAUAUUAAUAGUAUCUCCAUUUAAGAGCAAUGACUCAAAGUGGAACAUGUGGUGGCACAGAAUUAAAGAAAUACAAGUGCUACAACCCAAAUUAUAAAUUUUUAAAUAAUUAAUCAAUUAAUAGCUCCUAUGUAAUUAUGUGUAUUCUUUAAAAUAUAUCCAAUUCCAAGUCUAGAUGAAGAAGAAAGAGCUGUGUUAGGUCGACGGAUAGAAGAGUCAAAAAAAUUUAAUGUAUAAAACAUUGAGAUGUUAAAACCUUUUAACCACAUUUUAAAUAUUUUUAUGAAGGUAAACAACAUUUGCGGGUGAGAUUUUACUUUUUAGGGGUCAAAUUUUAUUAUUUAGCUCAUGAUUUUUAAAACAUCUCAUCAUAAGCAUUUAGAAAAUAUGACCUUUAUUGGAAGCAAGUAUCUUGAUGUUAUUUUUUAUUAUCAAGUUCAUAUAAUUAUGAUUUUAACUUAUACUAUUUAUUGGUUUCAAGUGGAAAAUUAGCAAUUUGACCUCAAAAAAGUUAAAUUACGUGACAUAAAAUUUAAAGAAGAAGGGAGUUUGAAUUUUUCCAUUUUGAGGAAUGGUAAAGAAAUUUAAGGACCCAUUUGUCCAUAAAUCCCCCUCCCCUUCCCUUUUUCCGAAACUUAUCUUUAAAACAUUGUUUGGUUAUACAUUAACUGAAUAUUUGAAGAUGAGUUUCAAAUUUGAAAAAAGCGUGUUUUACCUCAUUGUCAAGUAAAUAAUAUUUUCUUCUCAUAAAAUUAUAAUAUUUUUUUCAAGUGAAAUAUAUGUGCAAAAUAUAAUUUUAAAUUUCAAAUACCUUUUUCCAACUUAACUUCAAAAACUAUUUUUUUCCCUUCAAAAAUCACAUUUUUUAUGUCCAAAUGCCUACUAAACUAAUAGACUUCUGUAGAUAUCAAUUAAGAUGACCUCAUAGAAUAAAGAUUCUUUACACUAAUAAUGUAUACUAUUACUUAAACUAUUUGGGGAAUUAAUGGUAAAGAAACUAAACUAGUAGGAUCCUUCUUGCCUGUCAAAGGAGAAGUCACUAAAAUCAGAUAACCAGUCCAAUUAAGACAUUGUCCUUAGUCACACAAAUGGAAAUUUGGUCAAUUGACCAAGUACUAACAAAUUAAAACCAUCUAUAAGACCAUGACUGCAUAAAAAAAGACUUGGAUUUGGACUUGGCCUCAUCGGCUCCACAUAGAAUAAUAUGUUGAAUAGUUCUAACAUAGUACUUACUACUACUUUAUAUAAACCAAACCAAAAUAUCCAAAGGAAAGAAGACAGAAUCCAACAUUGACCAUGAUUACAUGUUUUUCUCCUACCUUUCUUUGCUAAGAAAUGGUCAUGCUUGCCCAUAUAUUUUUGAACAAUUUAGUUCUACUUCUAAUACUCACUUUUAAGCUAAACAAGAGAAAAGAAAGAACAUUCUCCUAUACAAGAUUUGGAUUAAAGUUAAAAAAAAUUUCUUAAGACAAAUACAAGAUUUGGAUUAAAGUUACUAGGUUCAGAAGAACGCAUAACCUAAACUCUAGCUCUGCCGCUAACCCCAUAAGCCACAUUCCACCAACCAAGGGCGAAUGUAGUGUUGAACCGACGAGUUCAAUUGAACCCAUAACUUUCGAUGCAGAAUAAAAAUUUAUAUGUAAAAAUUUAUUAAAAUUGCAAAAAUAGUAGAUAUGAACCCAUAACUUUAUAAAUAUAAUAGAUUCAAUGCUAAAAAUCUUGAAAGUUGAACCCAUAGGAAUUAAAUCCUGAAUCCAACUCUGCCACCAACUCAUUCUCCUACCUUUGAUUAGGGUGGAGUGCUGGGAAAGGGGAAGACUAGUGGCAGUGACACCCUUUUGCAAAAACUUUUCUUAUAUAUGUGAAUGUAGAUGACAUUUACAAAGAACAAUACAUAUAUAUACAAAUAGGCAUAAAAUUCUUGAAAAUAAUAGAAAAUAAAUAUUAAUUUGUGAGAUAAUUCAAAGCCUAAAACGAUCGCAGUCCUAGACCUAAACACAAUUACAAACCGAAUUGUGACAAUGAACGGCCAUUGCUUGCAUAAAAUCAUGUGUCGUACAUCACUAGGCAAGACUUGCCACUAAUGAAUAUUAUACUAUAACAACUACUACGUCUCAAUCUCAAACUGUUAGAAUCACAAAAAGAAGAUUAUGCGAGUCAAAGUUGCCAGUGAAAAUUUUCAAAACAACUCAAAAAAUGCUUGAUUUGAAGCUCAACAUGCAUGCAUGGCUCCUAGCAUGCCAUCUGAAAAGGCCAUCAAUUAUUGGUGGAACAAUGCAAGUGGCAUACAAGGAGCCAGGCAUGUAUUUAUAUAUCAUGAAAACAAGCGACUUACCUUUCAUGAUUUUAAGACUCUAGACUGAAUCAGAUUGAGAACACCAACGGAACACUCUCUUACCCCCACUGACCGGCUAGUGUGCAAUGACGACCGGCCUGCAAGGUACUAUAUUUUUUUCUUAGCUGCUCUGAAUUCUAUUCUAGAUGCUACCUACUUACAUAUGAUACUUACCUUUCUUGAUUUCCAGACUCGAGACUGAAUCAAACAACUUGUCUUGAUUUUCUGUAUAGCCAAGGUUCUGGUGAAAC
RNAcentral lists this long non-coding RNA (3852 nucleotides) under Nicotiana tabacum (common tobacco). RNAcentral describes it as "long non-coding RNA (NTAB_LNC012041)". The stretch from base 3486 to 3571 matches the Rfam family "mir-160 microRNA precursor family". The record is from RNAcentral. Lineage: Eukaryota; Viridiplantae; Streptophyta; Magnoliopsida; Solanales; Solanaceae.